CAGCGGGCUCGGCCUCCGGGCGCAGGCGCGGUGCGAGCGCCGGCUGGGUCUCCGGCGUCCUCCUCGGUGGAGCUCACGCUGCCGGGAGCGUCGGGAUGAGCGCGGUGGAGGCCGACCACUGGGCGUGGCUGCUGGUCCUCUGCUUCGUGUUUGGGUGCAAUGUCCUCAGGAUCCUCCUCCCGUCCUUCUCCUCCUUCAUGUCCAGGGUGCUGCAGAAGGAUGCAGAGCAGGAGUCUCAGAUGAGAGCAGAGAUCCAGGACAUGAAGCAGGAACUCUCCACUGUCAACAUGAUGGACGAGUUCGCCAGAUACGCCAGGCUGGAAAGGAAGAUCAACAAGAUGACAGAUAAGCUCAAAACUCAUGUGAAAGCACGGACAGCGCAGUUGGCCAAGAUCAAGUGGGUUAUGAGUGUUGCCUUCUACGUAUUGCAGGCUGCCCUGAUGGUCUCCCUCAUUUGGAAGUAUUAUUCUGUUCCUGUGGCUGUGGUGCCCAGUAAAUGGAUAACUCCGCUCGACCGGCUGGUGGCGUUUCCCACUAGAGUAGCAGGUGGUGUUGGAAUCACCUGUUGGAUUUUAGUCUGUAACAAAGUUGUGGCUAUUAUGCUUCAUCCUUUCAGCUGAAAAAGAAGGAUACAGCUCUGAGACUUUGAAAAAUGAAUUUUCAUGUAGGUUAAAAAGCUGACUUAAACUGUUUUAUUGUCUUGUAUUUGUUUAAGAAACAAAAGAGUGCAGGUUAGUUCUUUUGGUGAACCUGCUUGUUCUUGGAUUUUAUGUGAGAUUCUUAGAAGAAUUAAAUUUGUACACUUGUCAUUGAGGCAGAGAGGUCUGUCACGCCUCUGUACUGGCCAGCAAGCAGCAGAUUUGUGAUAAGAAAUGUGACAUUACAGGCAUCUAUCUACAUGUUGUUACUUGUGAUUUGCACACUUGGCAUAUUUUAAGUAUGCUUUUUAAAAAUUGAUUGCAGGGAUGUGAAGGGAGAGGGAGAGAGAGGGAGAAACAUCAAUGAUGAGAGAAAAUUAUUAAUUGGCUGCCUCUCAUGCACGAACCCUAUUGGAGAUCAAGCCUGAAACCUGGGCAUGUGCCCUGACCAGAAAUCGAACUGUGACCUGGUUCAUGGGUUGAUGCUCAAUAACUGAGCCACACUGGCUGGGCAUUCUCUUGGCAUAUUUUAAAGGUCACAUUGCCAAUUGGAAAGUCAACAUUUUCUCAUAAUUUAAGUACUUUAAAGACUUCAUACUACUUUUAAUCCAGAUUAGAAAGCAAUUUAAUAUCACUACUAGAAUUUGAAAAUUUGUUUUUUAAUCUGAUGCAGCACCACUGAGAAUAACACUAACUGACAUUGCCUGUGCUUAUCUUUGGUUUAAAAUGUCAUCUGUUGAGCAAGCCUUGGUGGAGUAUUAUCUCCUUAUUUGAAGCUGUUAUUUUUUCAUUUCCGAGUUUUAUAAAUGUAUUUGUGAGAUCAUUACACAUUGUUUUGUGCUUGAAUUUUGUGUUUUGUACUUAAAGCAUUUCAAAUGAAAUGUAUUUAUAAGCAUUUAAUAUUUAUGCUCCAUAGAACGGAACAAAAUUAAACAAAGUAGGAAGCCUGAUUAAAUUCAUUUAAAUAGAUACAUGUUUGGCCCAUAAAGUAUAAUGCUGCUAAAUAUUUUUACAACACUUCUUUACUAAUUAAAAUCUUUGCAAGUGCUUGUAUGACUUCCUUACAGCUACUCAUUUGCUGUGACCAGUCUGUAACUGACAAGUGGCAGAGGGCUUUAACCAUUAACUACGUCGGCUGCAGCACCUGGAAGCCAGAUUCCAUCACUAGGUUUGAAAAGAUCAUGUUCUUGUGCUCCUUAGUGACCCAGUGAGGAGCUCGCUGUGCUUCCUGCUGGUUGUACCAUGAAAUGACAAAGCGCUGUGUUACUUCCGUUUAUCGGACUGGAGUGGUCUCAGGUUCCCUGGUCAUCCCGACUUACCUGGCAGCAGGUUGACGUGGCUUUGAGGAAGGAUGCAGAGCCAGGAGCACAGCUGUUUCUACAGACAGCAUCGUGAGAGCUCCGACUCCAGCUUCCACUGUCAGUCACCACAGGGCACAUGUGGCCACAAGGGUGACGAGGACUGAACAGAACUCACCACAGUUACUUUAGAAUCUCCAAAAGCAUUGCUGGCGGAGGCCUGACUAGAGGGUGGCUGCUGUAUCUUACUUUUCCAAGUCUCCUCAGACCCUUCAGUAGCAGGACUUGCUUGGUCGUUUUUAAAGACACAGCCUGAUCCAAAGAGUUCCUCCAUGAGAUUGCUCUUCUUUGCUCUGAAAGUUUCGUCUUUUGCUUUUGUUCUGGAAGACUUACCAAAAGAGGGCUCGUACCCGCCCCCGGAGUGCCUGGGCGUCAGCUCUUUGGCGCCCCCGCGCUGUUUGCCUGUGCUGUGGUUGCAUCUCCAGGCACCUGGUUUGGCUGGCCCACCGGACGCAGGAAGCCCGUGAUGCAGGUUUUCCGUGGCUUCUGUGAAUAAAUAAUGCUUUCUUUGUCGGA
Molecule: RNA transcript, 2512 nt
Organism: Myotis myotis
Lineage: Eukaryota; Metazoa; Chordata; Mammalia; Chiroptera; Vespertilionidae
Gene: GET1
Gene name: guided entry of tail-anchored proteins factor 1
Exons: 6
Source: RefSeq, a predicted model, not a curated record